AUUGAACGCUGGCGGCAGGCCUAACACAUGCAAGUCGAGCGGAUGAAGGGAGCUUGCUCCUGGAUUCAGCGGCGGACGGGUGAGUAAUGCCUAGGAAUCUGCCUGGUAGUGGGGGAUAACGUCCGGAAACGGGCGCUAAUACCGCAUACGUCCUGAGGGAGAAAGUGGGGGAUCUUCGGACCUCACGCUAUCAGAUGAGCCUAGGUCGGAUUAGCUAGUUGGUGGGGUAAAGGCCUACCAAGGCGACGAUCCGUAACUGGUCUGAGAGGAUGAUCAGUCACACUGGAACUGAGACACGGUCCAGACUCCUACGGGAGGCAGCAGUAGGGAAUAUUGGGCAAUGGGCGAAAGCCUGAUCCAGCCAUGCCGCGUGAGUGAAGAAGGUCUUCGGAUUGUAAAACACUUUAAGUUGGGAAGAAGGGAAGUAAGUUAAUACCUUGCUGUUUUGACGUUACCAACAGAAUAAGCACCGGCUAACUUCGUG
RNAcentral lists this ribosomal RNA (484 nucleotides) under uncultured bacterium. RNAcentral describes it as "partial 16S ribosomal RNA". It matches the Rfam family "Bacterial small subunit ribosomal RNA", at positions 30 to 507 of the family's 1533-position model. The record is from RNAcentral.